Molecule: long non-coding RNA, 666 nt
Filed under: Lathyrus oleraceus (garden pea)
Lineage: Eukaryota; Viridiplantae; Streptophyta; Magnoliopsida; Fabales; Fabaceae
Description: Pisum sativum (pea) long non-coding RNA (PSAT_LNC015372)
Source: RNAcentral
AGUGUCGCAUCACGCGAAAAACCGGCGGGAAAAGAAAGAAACAACAGAGCCGCCACCGUGCGUUAUUUAUCCCAAAAGAGGGAAAGGAAACGCUCGAAGUAAACCUAGGAAAGAACAUGGUCUCGCGACCAAAGAGAAUGGGUUCGGGAGUCGGUUAUGCGAAGGGAAGGUAUUAGCACCCCUACGCAUCCGUAGUACUCUACGGGAUCCACGCACAAAAGGAAGGAAAAUUGGUUGCUAAACACUGCUCAAACUCACACACACUGGCUGAAAGAGACAAAAGAAACUGACUGAAACUGACUCGGCAGGACAUCGCAUCCUGGGCCUACUUAGUCUAUCAGGCAUAGACAUCAGAGUCGAAGUAGUUCGGACUGGGGAAACGACACAUGCUCGCUAGGAUAUCGCAUCCUAUGCAUACGUAUCUUCUCGGACGAGAGAAGAAUCAGAGCAUUCGUAGCUCGGCUGACACGCACACAAACAAAACAAGACACAGGCAAACGUGGAGCCCGACUGCCAAUCACUGGACUUAUGUCAGCAUCCGAACCUAAAACACACGCAAAGAGGCAAACGUGGAGCCCAAAUGCCAAUCACUGGACUUACAUUGACAUCCGAACCUAAACAACACAACAGAUAGAUAGGGAGUCGGGGACUCAGCCUAUAACUGUC